CUACUUUUCUUUACUAUCCAAUCAUCCAUCCAUGAAUGUUGGCUGAAAUCUCUACCGAAUUAAACCACAAAAAAGGAUGAAGCCCUCCCAUAAAUACAUAGACUCAUACUCUAGGUAAACAUUAGACAUAGAUUUAGGGAGAAGACGAAAGCUUCUGUUCAAGUUGUUCGGGAGCGUGGCCGUCAUUUGAGUCUUGUUUAAGGCGUUCCCGAGAAAGGCGAUCACAAAGUUGUUUGAGUAGUUAACUUUUUUUAAGGUUAGUACGAUUGUUAGACAUGAAGCUGUUAGGGAACGGGUAGAGAAACUUUGACAAGACGUGACGAAUUUAGAUGAUUCGUUUAUUUAUUUUUCUAUACAUAAAGGUUCCUUUAUGACUCUGUUGCUAUGUACGACGAGUAACACCCAUUUUUUUUAUAUACUGAAAUCAUUUUUAUUAAUGGUUUUAUAAUGUAAACAUACGACUGGGAGUUUCC
This is a long non-coding RNA of Helianthus annuus (common sunflower), 473 nucleotides long. RefSeq lists it as uncharacterized. The record is from RefSeq and is a predicted model, not a curated record. NCBI's taxonomy places the organism in Eukaryota, Viridiplantae, Streptophyta, Magnoliopsida, Asterales, Asteraceae. The transcript is spliced from 3 exons.